CCUACGGGUGAUAGCAGUGGGGGAUAUUGGACAAUGGGGGGAACCCUGAUCCAGCGACGCCGCGUGAGUGAAGAAGUAUUUCGGUAUGUAAAGCUCUGUCAGCAGGGAAGAAAGAAAUGACGGUACCUGACCAAGAAGCCCCGGCUAACUACGUGCCAGCAGCAGCGGUAAUACGUAGGGGGCAAGCGUUAUCCGGAUUUACUGGGUGUAAAGGGAGCGUGAACGGUUCUAUAAGUCCGGAGUGAAAGCCCUGGGCCCAACCCCGGGACUGCUUGGGAAACUGUGUAACUGGAGUACAGGAGUGGCAGGCGGAAUGCCUGGUGUAGCGGUGAAAUGCGUAGAUAUCAGGAGGAACACCGUCGGCGAAGGCGGCCUGCUGGACUGAAACUGACGUUGAGGCUCGAAAGCGUGGGGAGCAAACAGGAUUAGAUACCCCAGUAGUC
RNAcentral lists this ribosomal RNA (443 nucleotides) under uncultured bacterium. RNAcentral describes it as "partial 16S ribosomal RNA". It matches the Rfam family "Bacterial small subunit ribosomal RNA", at positions 338 to 795 of the family's 1533-position model. The record is from RNAcentral.